This 262-nucleotide ribosomal RNA is filed under the name uncultured bacterium. Its description in RNAcentral is "partial 16S ribosomal RNA". It matches the Rfam family "Bacterial small subunit ribosomal RNA", at positions 92 to 354 of the family's 1533-position model. The record is from RNAcentral.
UUAGUGGCGGACGGGUGAGUAACGCGUGGAUAACCUGCCGUAUACAGGGGGAUAACACUUAGAAAUAGGUGCUAAUACCGCAUAAGCGCACGGUUCCGCAUGGAACAGUGUGAAAAACUCAGGUGGUAUACGAUGGAUCCGCGUCUGAUUAGCCAGUUGGUGGGGUAACGGCCCACCAAAGCGACGAUCAGUAGCCGGCCUGAGAGGGUGAACGGCCACAUUGGGACUGAGACACGGCCCAAACUCCUACGGAAGGCAGCAG